CGGGCUUGAACUGCAGCGGAAGGACGCGGAGACGCUGACGCCCCUCGGGGCCGCUGCGGAGGUGCUGCAUGGUUGUCGUCAGCUCGUGCCGUGAGGUGUCGGCUUAAGUGCCAUAACGAGCGCAACCCCUCUCCUCAGUUGCCAUCAGGUGAUGCUGGGCACUCUGGGGACACUGCCGCCGUAAGGUGUGAGGAAGGUGGGGAUGACGUCAAAUCAGCACGGCCCUUACGUCCGGGGCUACACACGUGUUACAAUGGGUGGUACAGAGAGCCGGGUGCCCGUAAGGUCGCCCAAAUCCUUAAAGCCGCCCUCAGUUCGGAUUGGGGUCUGCAACCCGACCCCAUGAAGCUGGAUUCGCUAGUAAUCGCGCAUCAGCCAUGGCGCGGUGAAUACGUUCCCGGGCC
RNAcentral lists this ribosomal RNA (404 nucleotides) under uncultured bacterium. Its description in RNAcentral is "bacterial SSU rRNA". It matches the Rfam family "Bacterial small subunit ribosomal RNA", at positions 976 to 1380 of the family's 1533-position model. The record is from RNAcentral.